This 1176-nucleotide ribosomal RNA is filed under the name Bacillus velezensis. Its description in RNAcentral is "bacterial SSU rRNA". It matches the Rfam family "Bacterial small subunit ribosomal RNA", at positions 30 to 1192 of the family's 1533-position model. Lineage: Bacteria; Bacillati; Bacillota; Bacilli; Caryophanales; Bacillaceae. The record is from RNAcentral.
GGGGCAGUGGCGGGGUGCUAUACAUGCAGUCGAGCGGACAGAUGGGAGCUUGCUCCCUGAUGUUAGCGGCGGACGGGUGAGUAACACGUGGGUAACCUGCCUGUAAGACUGGGAUAACUCCGGGAAACCGGGGCUAAUACCGGAUGGUUGUCUGAACCGCAUGGUUCAGACAUAAAAGGUGGCUUCGGCUACCACUUACAGAUGGACCCGCGGCGCAUUAGCUAGUUGGUGAGGUAACGGCUCACCAAGGCGACGAUGCGUAGCCGACCUGAGAGGGUGAUCGGCCACACUGGGACUGAGACACGGCCCAGACUCCUACGGGAGGCAGCAGUAGGGAAUCUUCCGCAAUGGACGAAAGUCUGACGGAGCAACGCCGCGUGAGUGAUGAAGGUUUUCGGAUCGUAAAGCUCUGUUGUUAGGGAAGAACAAGUGCCGUUCAAAUAGGGCGGCACCUUGACGGUACCUAACCAGAAAGCCACGGCUAACUACGUGCCAGCAGCCGCGGUAAUACGUAGGUGGCAAGCGUUGUCCGGAAUUAUUGGGCGUAAAGGGCUCGCAGGCGGUUUCUUAAGUCUGAUGUGAAAGCCCCCGGCUCAACCGGGGAGGGUCAUUGGAAACUGGGGAACUUGAGUGCAGAAGAGGAGAGUGGAAUUCCACGUGUAGCGGUGAAAUGCGUAGAGAUGUGGAGGAACACCAGUGGCGAAGGCGACUCUCUGGUCUGUAACUGACGCUGAGGAGCGAAAGCGUGGGGAGCGAACAGGAUUAGAUACCCUGGUAGUCCACGCCGUAAACGAUGAGUGCUAAGUGUUAGGGGGUUUCCGCCCCUUAGUGCUGCAGCUAACGCAUUAAGCACUCCGCCUGGGGAGUACGGUCGCAAGACUGAAACUCAAAGGAAUUGACGGGGGCCCGCACAAGCGGUGGAGCAUGUGGUUUAAUUCGAAGCAACGCGAAGAACCUUACCAGGUCUUGACAUCCUCUGACAAUCCUAGAGAUAGGACGUCCCCUUCGGGGGCAGAGUGACAGGUGGUGCAUGGUUGUCGUCAGCUCGUGUCGUGAAAUGUUGGGUUAAGUCCCGCAACGAGCGCAACCCUUGAUCUUAGUUGCCAGCAUUCAGUUGGGCACUCUAAGGUGACUGCCGGUGACAAACCGGAGGAAGGUGGGGAUGACGUCAAAUCA